Long non-coding RNA from Oncorhynchus mykiss (rainbow trout), 760 nucleotides. RefSeq lists it as uncharacterized. NCBI's taxonomy places the organism in Eukaryota, Metazoa, Chordata, Actinopteri, Salmoniformes, Salmonidae. The record is from RefSeq and is a predicted model, not a curated record.
GGUUGUCCCACACUAUAUAAAGCAAUAGAGGGUGCAUUUUCUCUCUCUUCAGUUCAAGCUAAAUGCAAAGGUGGACAAACGGCAUACGAUAAACCCUGCUCAGCCCAAUAUGGCUGCAUUGCUACUGCAGAAUAGCUCAAUGGUAUCUUCUGAGCAGACCUCAGACGGUGGAAUAACAAAUGGAUAUGCAGAAGGAUUAGGAUCAAUCUGAAGACCCUAUAAAAUGGGAUUCGAAUGAACCAGUGGACGUUUUAAUUCGAGGCUUAUAACCUCGGAUGGCUUGAGAAUUAACCACGGAACAUUCUGAAGGUCUCGUACCAACUGAAAUGGUAGCGGUGAUGAUCCAAUCACCUUGGGAUUGAACAGCGGUAUGGAGGUACAAGUGUGCCUUAACACUUAAGAUGUAAUGGCCCAAUCCAGGUCCCUUGAUGGGAAUGUCAAUCUGUAGGUCUUAUGACUGACCAAUUACACUUCAACGUUGAUAUACCCGUAAUACGGGUUUUAAGGUCUUGUGAAAAAAUGAUUGAGGCCUGUCAUACAUCCUAAUGGCCUUAUCCUGCCAGCAUAACAUCGACGUGGGAAUUCUACUAACGGCCUGUAUGCGGCUCACAUCCAUCCAAUGAGUGAAGCUAAAAUAAGACAAUAUUAUUUGUGCCCUGGUGCUAUAAGCUCAUCACGUCCCAUGAGCCAGGUUGAGUGGUAAAAUAUUUCCUCUCCACUUGUAAAGCCCGUUUACUGCAAUAAAGAUGACUUAACCCUG